GAGCACGUAGGUGGGUUUGUAAGUCGGAUGUGAAAGCCUUCUGUUCAACGGGAGAAUUGCAUCUGAAACUGCUAAUCUUGAGUAUAGGAGGGGAGAAUGGAACUUCUGGUGGAGCGGUGAAAUGCGUAGAUAUCAGAAGGAACGCCGGCGGCGAAAGCGAUUCUCUGGCCUAUUACUGACACUCAGUGUGCGAAAGCUAGGGGAGCAAACGGGAUUAGAUACCCCGGUAGUCCUAGCCGUAAACGAUGGGCACUAAGUAGAGGGGAUUACCUAUGUUCUCUCUGCCGUAGCUAACGCAUUAAGUGCCCCGCCUGGGGAGUACGGCCGCAAGGCUAAAACCCAAAAGAAUUGACGGGGGCUCGCACAAGCGGUGGAGCAUGUGGCUUAAUUCGAUGCAACGCGAAAAACCUUACCGGGGCUUGACAUGAUAGAAGUAGGAACCUGAAAGGGGGACGAACGGUAUCCAGUCCGUAGCUAUUACAGGUGUUGCAUGGCUGUCGUCAGCUCGUGUCGUGAGACGUUGGGUUAAGUCCCCUAACGAGCGAAACCCUUGUUUUUAGUUACCAGCGGGUUAUGCCGGGUACUCUAGAAAGACUGCCGUCGUCAAGACGGAGGAAGGUGGGGAUGACGUCAAGUCAUCAUGGCCCUUAUGCCCCGGGCUGCACACGUGCUACAAUGGUCGGUACAGACGGAAGCGAAGCCGAGAGGCGAAGCGAAUCC
This 720-nucleotide ribosomal RNA is filed under the name uncultured ammonia-oxidizing bacterium. RNAcentral's name for it is "bacterial SSU rRNA". It matches the Rfam family "Bacterial small subunit ribosomal RNA", at positions 565 to 1274 of the family's 1533-position model. The record is from RNAcentral.